AUAACGUUCAAACUGCGGUUCUCGUACAAUCACCGAAGUUAAGCAACGUCAAGCCCAAUAAGUACCCGGGUGAGUGACCGCUUGGGAAUACCUGGUU
Molecule: non-coding RNA, 97 nt
Organism: Acanthosepion pharaonis
Lineage: Eukaryota; Metazoa; Mollusca; Cephalopoda; Sepiida; Sepiidae
Source: the annotation of a GenBank genome assembly